Molecule: ribosomal RNA, 449 nt
Filed under: uncultured bacterium
Lineage: Bacteria
Description: bacterial SSU rRNA
Rfam family: Bacterial small subunit ribosomal RNA
Source: RNAcentral
CACCAGACUCCUACGGGAGGCAGCAGUGGGGAAUAUUGGGCAAUGGGCGCAAGCCUGACCCAGCAACGCCGCGUGAAGGAAGAAGGCUUUCGGGUUGUAAACUUCUUUUCUGGGGGACGAAGAAAGUGACGGUACCCCAGGAAUAAGCCACGGCUAACUACGUGCCAGCAGCCGCGGUAAUACGUAGGUGGCAAGCGUUAUCCGGAUUUAUUGGGUGUAAAGGGCGUGUAGCCGGGCUUACAAGUCAGAUGUGAAAUCCGGGGGCUCAACCCCCGAACUGCAUUUGAAACUGUAGGUCUUGAGUAUCGGAGAGGCAGGCGGAAUUCCUAGUGUAGCGGUGAAAUGCGUAGAUAUUAGGAGGAACACCAGUGGCGAAGGCGGCCUGCUGGACGACAACUGACGGUGAGGCGCGAAAGCGUGGGGAGCAAACAGGAUUAGAUACCCUAGUA